This 500-nucleotide ribosomal RNA is filed under the name uncultured bacterium. RNAcentral describes it as "bacterial SSU rRNA". It matches the Rfam family "Bacterial small subunit ribosomal RNA", at positions 33 to 507 of the family's 1533-position model. The record is from RNAcentral.
ACGCUGGCGGCGUGCCUAAUACAUGCAAGUCGAACGGGGAUGCGAGAUUUCGGUUUUGCAUCUUAGUGGCGCACGGGUGAGUAGCGCGUGGGUAAUCUGCCCCCCCGGUCAGGAAUAACCCGCCGAAAGGCGGGCUAAUACCCGAUAACACUGACGCUCCGCGGAGCGUCUUUCAAAGAAGGCCUCUGUUUACAAGCUUUCGCCGGAGGAUGAGCCCGCGUACCAUUAGCUAGUUGGCAGGGUAAUGGCCUACCAAGGCUACGAUGGUUAGCUGGUCUGAGAGGAUGGCCAGCCACACUGGAACUGAGACACGGUCCAGACUCCUACGGGAGGCAGCAGUGAGGAAUCUUGCGCAAUGGGGGAAACCCUGACGCAGCAACGCCGCGUGAGUGAGGAAGGCCUUCGGGUCGUAAAGCUCUGUCAGAUGGGAAGAAAUGGAUGGGGGCUAAUAUCGCCCAUCCUUGACGGUACCAUCAGAGGAAGCACCGGCUAACUCCGUG